GAUAAACGCUGGCGGCGUGCCUAAUACAUGCAAGUCGAGCGAACGGACGAGAAGCUUGCUUCUCUGAUGUUAGCGGCGGACGGGUGAGUAACACGUGGAUAACCUACCUAUAAGACUGGGAUAACUUCGGGAAACCGGAGCUAAUACCGGAUAAUAUUUUGAACCGCAUGGUUCAAAAGUGAAAGACGGUCUUGCUGUCACUUAUAGAUGGAUCCGCGCUGCAUUAGCUAGUUGGUAAGGUAACGGCUUACCAAGGCAACGAUGCAUAGCCGACCUGAGAGGGUGAUCGGCCACACUGGAACUGAGACACGGUCCAGACUCCUACGGGAGGCAGCAGUAGGGAAUCUUCCGCAAAGGGCGAAAGCCUGACGGAGCAACGCCGCGUGAGUGAUGAAGGUCUUCGGAUCGUAAAACUCUGUUAUUAGGGAAGAACAUAUGUGUAAGUAACUGUGCACAUCUUGACGGUACCUAAUCAGAAAGCCACGGCUAACUACGUG
RNAcentral lists this ribosomal RNA (497 nucleotides) under uncultured bacterium. RNAcentral's name for it is "partial 16S ribosomal RNA". It matches the Rfam family "Bacterial small subunit ribosomal RNA", at positions 28 to 507 of the family's 1533-position model. The record is from RNAcentral.